UACGGAGGAUGCAAGCAUUAUCCGGAUUUAUUGGGUUUAAAGGGUGCGCAGGUUGUUUGAUAAGUCAGUGGUGAAAGUCUGUCGCUUAACGGUGGGAUUGCCAUUGAUACUGUUAGACUUGAAUAUGGAUGAGGUAGGCGGAAUGUGUAGUGUAGCGGUGAAAUGCAUAGAUAUUACACAGAACACCGAUUGCGAAGGCAGCUUACUAAUCCAUCAUUGACGCUGAGGCACGAAAGCGUGGGGAUCAAACA
RNAcentral lists this ribosomal RNA (251 nucleotides) under uncultured prokaryote. RNAcentral describes it as "partial 16S ribosomal RNA". It matches the Rfam family "Bacterial small subunit ribosomal RNA", at positions 524 to 774 of the family's 1533-position model. The record is from RNAcentral.